CGUGCAGGCGGUUCUGUAAGUCGGACGUGAAAGCUCCUGGCUUAACUGGGAGAGGCCGUUCGAAACUGCAGGACUUGAGGUCGGGAGAGGGACGUGGAAUUCCCGGUGUAGUGGUGGAAUGCGUAGAUAUCGGGAGGAACACCAGUGGCGAAGGCGGCGUCCUGGCCCGUACCUGACGCUAAGACGCGAAAGCGUGGGGAGCGAACG
Molecule: ribosomal RNA, 207 nt
Filed under: uncultured bacterium
Lineage: Bacteria
Description: partial 16S ribosomal RNA
Rfam family: Bacterial small subunit ribosomal RNA
Source: RNAcentral